UGUCUAAGUAUAAGCAACUUGUACUGUGAAACUGCGAAUGGCUCAUUAAAUCAGUUAUCGUUUAUUUGAUAGUACCUUACUACAUGGAUACCUGUGGUAAUUCUAGAGCUAAUACAUGCUAAAAACCCCGACUUCAGGAAGGGGUGUAUUUAUUAGAUAAAAAACCAACGCCCUUCGGGGCUCCUUGGUGAAUCAUAAUAACUUAACGAAUCGCAUGGCCUUGCGCCGGCGAUGGUUCAUUCAAAUUUCUGCCCUAUCAACUUUCGAUGGUAGGAUAGUGGCCUACCAUGGUGGCAACGGGUAACGGGGAAUUAGGGUUCGAUUCCGGAGAGGGAGCCUGAGAAACGGCUACCACAUCCAAGGAAGGCAGCAGGCGCGCAAAUUACCCAAUCCCGAUACGGGGAGGUAGUGACAAUAAAUACUGAUACGGGGCUCUUUUGGGUCUCGUAAUUGGAAUGAGAACAAUUUAAAUCCCUUAACGAGGAACAAUUGGAGGGCAAGUCUGGUGCCAGCAGCCGCGGUAAUUCCAGCUCCAAUAGCGUAUAUUAAAGUUGUUGCAGUUAAAAAGCUCGUAGUUGAACCUUGGGUCUGGCUGGCCGGUCCGCCUCACCGCGAGUACUGGUCCGGCUGGACCUUUCCUUCUGGGGAACCUCAUGGCCUUCACUGGCUGUGGGGGGAACCAGGACUUUUACUGUGAAAAAAUUAGAGUGUUCAAAGCAGGCCUUUGCUCGAAUACAUUAGCAUGGAAUAAUAGAAUAGGACGUGUGGUUCUAUUUUGUUGGUUUCUAGGACCGCCGUAAUGAUUAAUAGGGAUAGUCGGGGGCGUCAGUAUUCAGCUGUCAGAGGUGAAAUUCUUGGAUUUGCUGAAGACUAACUACUGCGAAAGCAUUCGCCAAGGAUGUUUUCAUU
Molecule: ribosomal RNA, 909 nt
Filed under: Penicillium sp. 1 FW1PhC10
Lineage: Eukaryota; Fungi; Ascomycota; Eurotiomycetes; Eurotiales; Aspergillaceae
Description: SSU rRNA
Rfam family: Eukaryotic small subunit ribosomal RNA
Source: RNAcentral